RNAcentral lists this long non-coding RNA (299 nucleotides) under Capsella rubella. Its description in RNAcentral is "long non-coding RNA (CRUB_LNC002188)". The record is from RNAcentral. Lineage: Eukaryota; Viridiplantae; Streptophyta; Magnoliopsida; Brassicales; Brassicaceae.
CGGUUCCAUUCUUUCUCCUUUCCCGUUCUUUUCUCUUUUCUUUUCUUUUCUUUUCUUUUCUUUUUCUUUUUGUUAGCAUUUUUUUCAUAUUUUUUUUUAACGGGGGAGUGGAACCGGUUCUCGUCUCACAAACUGCAUCAACAAAACUCAAUCAUGAUCGCUCACAGCAGAUGCUCAUAAAAUGACAAUAUAACCACAAGAACUCAAUGUCAAUCACCCCAAACAACUACAAUUACAAUCCUAGCUAUAGGAAAGCUAUGUCGGUUUGUAUACUCCGUAGUUUUUGCACAUGAAUGCAC